RNAcentral lists this ribosomal RNA (253 nucleotides) under uncultured bacterium. Its description in RNAcentral is "partial 16S ribosomal RNA". It matches the Rfam family "Bacterial small subunit ribosomal RNA", at positions 524 to 776 of the family's 1533-position model. The record is from RNAcentral.
UACGAAGGGUGCAAGCGUUAUUCGGAAUCAUUGGGCGUAAAGCGCGCGCAGGCGGAUUGAUAAGUCAGGUGUGAAAUCUCGAGGCUCAACCUCGAAACUGCGCCUGAAACUAUUAGUCUAGAGUGUCGGAGGGGGCAGGGGAAUUUCACGUGUAGGGGUAAAAUCCGUAGAGAUGUGAAGGAACACCGGGGGCGAAGGCGCCUGCCUGGACGACUACUGACGCUGAGGCGCGAAAGCGUGGGGAGCAAACAGG